Molecule: ribosomal RNA, 450 nt
Filed under: uncultured Acaulospora
Lineage: Eukaryota; Fungi; Glomeromycota; Glomeromycetes; Diversisporales; Acaulosporaceae
Description: SSU rRNA
Rfam family: Eukaryotic small subunit ribosomal RNA
Source: RNAcentral
AGCAGCCGCGGUAAUUCCAGCUCCAAUAGCGUAUAUUAAAGUUGUUGCAGUUAAAAAGCUCGUAGUUGAAUUUCGGAAUUCAUCCGUCGGUCGGGCUUAACUGUCCGUACUGGUGUGAUGGGUUCCUACCUUCUGAAUAACCGGCAUGCCAUUAAUUUGGUGCGCCGGGGAAGCAGGACUGUUACCUUGAAAAAAUUAGAGUGCUUAAAGCAGGCUAUCGCCUGAAUACAUUAGCAUGGAAUAAUGAAAUAGGACGGCAUGGUUCUAUUUUGUUGGUUUCUAGGAUCACCGUAAUGAUUAAUAGGGAUAGUUGGGGGCAUUAGUAUUCAAUUGUCAGAGGUGAAAUUCUUGGAUUUAUUGAAGACUAACUUCUGCGAAAGCAUUUGCCAAGGAUGUUUUCAUUAAUCAAGAACGAAAGUUAGGGGAUCGAAGACGAUCAGAUACCGUCGU